ACCAGUUUAGGAAAAAUUUAAAAUACAUAAAAAUACAGUGGUCAAAGAGUGUAAUUGAUAAUAAGUAUUCUUCAGUAUUCAAAUUUUCAUAGAAGCACCGCAUCAAUUAUGUCUUAUGGACUCAAGUUGGGUAAUUAGUUUGACACUUUGCAGAGGGUGGUCAACAUCCCAAGUCUCAAUUUUUGAAAGAAAGAUCUAGAUUGGUAAUGGAAUAUGGCCUCCAACCUGAACUUUUAAGUAAAUAUUUGGUAUAGAGCAGUGAGCUGGCUCAUUUGGCCUCCCAAUUUUGAUGGUUAGAGAUAGACAGUAAAGAAGCCUUCCCUUUGCGUCUGUCAAAAUAAUAGGGUUUCGUAGAGCUGUCAAAUUUUUUCAAAGCCCUAAGGCCAACCCUGGCCUUUUCUAUACUGAGACCCAUUUUGUUUGACCCAUGUCUGAGGGGGACUUUUCCAAAGCCCCUAGCCCCCAAAGCUCCAGAAAAUGGGUUGGGAUUAAAUUAGGGCCGGGUUAGCCUCCUAGCCCCCAAAAUCCCACUGUUGACCCUUGACAUCCCAUUUUCUUCUGGACAAACGUUUGCUGCGAAGAGCUUUACAACAAUGGCAACACUCAGUGGAGUCUACGGCGGCAGCGCAUGGCGGUACAGGCAGCGACAACACACAGUGGAGUCAACAGCAGCACUUGACGACAAUGCACAGUGGUAUAGGCGGCGGCGAUAGCAACGAUCGAGUGGUUGAAAAGCGACGAUUGAGUGGUUGAAAAGAAGAAUCGUGAACGAGGUUAUCUUUUCUUUCAAAUACUUCUCGUGCUUUCAGUUUCACCGUGAUGUUUUGAGAACAGUCCAAUCUUGAUCAGGUUAUUGUUUGGUUUCUCAUAUCAUUAAUGCAUUUUCAUGCUGAUUUUGGGUGUAGUGAAUGUCUGGUUCAUGUAUCAUAAAAGUCAAAUUCGCCCACUCUCUCAUUUCAGAGCUUCUUGAUUUGUUUUUUCUUUCACCAAUUUUUUAAUGUAUUUGGUUCAAUUCCACAUUCUGUUGCAUUUCUUGUUGUAGCGACCUGGACAAUACCCACGAACCAUCGCAUACUGUGGCACCCUUUCACCUUCUUGGUACUUCACAUGUCGCACACCCAUAUGUUACUUUUUUAUUUUUAUUUAUCUACUUCUUUCAAAGUUUGAGUCUUUUUGUAUUUUGGCUUCAGUUUUUCUUCUCUUGUCUCAGGUAUUCUCGUCUACUUUCAAAGGGUUGUUUCUGAAUUUGGUUUUGCUUUAGUGGAGAGAAAAGUACAUUGCCUAGUUCAUGAGAGAUAUUUGAGAGUUCUAGUGCUUUUUCAUUUUUGGGAUGUAUCUUUCAAAGAGUUUCAAGCAUGAAGUUGUUGUCAUCCUGUGGUUUUGCUGCUAUUUGCUACAUGCUGCUGGGCAGAAUAACAUCACUAGUAAUGUUGAAGGUAUGUGCUUUUUUUUUUGUAUUCUCUGAUUGCUUUGCUUCUAUUAGGAAUGCACUGAUGUUUUUUGACUAGUUGGAUCAUUCAUGACAUUAUGUAAGAGUCACUAUAAUUAAAUUAUUUAGUUUAGAGUCUUAUUCCUGUCUUCUUUAUUCCUUUACAUAAAAAUUGGAAUUUAAACACAGGGUAGCUGGACUUGUGCACCAAUCAUUCUUUAAUCUCAAAGGACCCUUGCAUGAGGGGGUGUGCAAGGGAUGUACUAUUAAAACCAUUUAUUUUCACCUAACAACUUAAGAUUUUGAGAUACUUGUUUCGUGAUAGCUUCUCUUUGAUAUAUUGCUUGGAUUUGUUUCUCUAUUGAACAUCACAUUCACUCUAGCUCUCACUUUUCUAGUUAGUCUUCUCUAUAGGAAGACUAUAUAUAGGUGGGGGUUCCUCUAUCUUGGGUCAUGUUUUUGUUCUGUUUGAGAGAGUAGAGAGGAUUGUUAGAGUGGUGUAAGGAGGGAUACAUUGUCCCUUGGCAUUGUACAUGUUGUUUUGCCAUCCUAAAUCAAUAACACGAGGUCUUUUCAGUGAAUUAGUUUGUGUGAGUUGCAAUUACUAAGUUUCUUCUAUCAAGAAACGUAACAGAAGUAAGUUCCUGAAACACUGGUCAUUUUAUAAUUCCUAUCUCAUGAUGUGUUUUCAGUGAUAAGUUGAUUAAUAGGAAUUGUUAAAUCUGCCUACAAGCUUGUUACCCGAUUGGCAUUGGCUCAAGUCUUUUAAGGUUUUUGUGUAAUAUGUUGAACUCAGACGAUCAAUUGUCACCAUACUGACUACCGUUCUUGCCUAUCAAAUACUUUCAACUCAUGCAGUUAACAUAUUAAUUCUUAAAUCCAGAAAAUUAUUCUUUGGUACGUUUUGCAAAAAUUUGAGAGUGGUUGGAAGAUUUAAUACCUGCACUUUUUUCAGAGUCUUUGUUUUCAUUUCUUUUGCUAAAUUUAAUGUUUAUGUUAAAUGUGUCUCCCUCUCCCUAUGUAUGGAAGAUCAUGUAGUUUUUCUUAUUUAUACAUAUUUUGUGAUGCCUUUAGAAUCUAUGCCUAAUAAAUAUUCAAGUCUCAAGAGCUUUUUAUUUUCUUUCUAACCCAUACUAUAUCUCAUUUGUUUCGCUAUCUACUUUGUUAUAUCCAUGAAACAAUGUUGUAUCCUAUCUUCAACUGUACAUAUUGAAGAUUUGCAUUACAGGGGAGACACCUUCAUUUUGUAAAGGACCGUACUCCAAUAUUUGUAUACCCGUGGCUGUAUUGGCAGCAGUACCUGGUAAAGGAGGAGGGUUGCUUGAAAAGCCAGUUAUUGAGAAAGUCGCCCCUGACCGUGAGUCUGAAUUUGAUUUGAAGUAAGCAGGAGUUUUGUCUACUUC
This 2832-nucleotide small RNA is filed under the name Vigna angularis var. angularis. Its description in RNAcentral is "Non-protein coding transcript". Lineage: Eukaryota; Viridiplantae; Streptophyta; Magnoliopsida; Fabales; Fabaceae. The record is from RNAcentral.